Molecule: ribosomal RNA, 834 nt
Filed under: uncultured organism
Description: bacterial SSU rRNA
Rfam family: Bacterial small subunit ribosomal RNA
Source: RNAcentral
UGGCUCAGAACGAACGCUGGCGGCGUGGCUAGACAUGCUAGUCGAACGGACAUUAAUUAUUAAUGGUUAGUGGCGAAAGGGUGAGUAAUGAAUAGGUAACGUACCCCGUGCUUCGGGAUAGCGUCUCCCGGCUUCGGUCGGGAUUCCGAAAGGGGCGGUAAUACCGGAUAAUACCAUAUAUCGUCUGGUAUAUGGUCAAAGAUUUAUCGGCGCGGGAGCGGCCUAUUUCCUAUCAGCUUGUUGGUGAGGUAAAAGCUCACCAAGGCGACGACGGGUAGCGGGACUGAGAGGUUGGCCCGCCACAUCGGGACUGAGACACUGCCCGGACCUCCACGGAGGGCUGCAGUAACGAAUAUUGCGCAAUGGGCGAAAGCCUGACGCAGCGACGCCGCGUGCGGGAGGAAGUCCCUCGGGAUGUAAACCGCUGUCAGGGGUAAGAAAGUUCCGACACGUCGGAAUUGAUCUAACCCAGAGGAAGUCACGGCUAACUUCGUGCCAGCAGCCGCGGUAAGACGAAGGUGGCUAGCGUUGUUCGGUGUCACUGGGCUUAAAGCGUGUGUAGGCGGAAAGGUAAGCGUCUUGUGAAAUCCCUCGGCUUAACCGGGGAAUUGCAGGGCGAACUCCCUUUCUUGAGGCAAGCAGGGGUGCAUGGAACUCUUGGUGGAGCGGUGGAAUGCGUAGAUAUCAAGAGGAACGCCGGUGGUGAAGACGGUGCACUGGGCUUGUCCUGACGCUGAGACACGAAAGCGUGGGUAGCGAACGGGAUUAGAUACCCCGGUAGUCCACGCCGUAAACGAUGUCUACUAGGUUGUGGAGGUUCUGACACCUGCACGG